Molecule: long non-coding RNA, 649 nt
Organism: Protopterus annectens (West African lungfish)
Lineage: Eukaryota; Metazoa; Chordata; Ceratodontiformes; Protopteridae
Exons: 2
Source: RefSeq, a predicted model, not a curated record
AAUUAACAGUAAUCGUGGGUGAUUGGAUUGUGGUUUGUUUUGUCAAGUCCACUGAAAGCUUACAUGGCCAGAUUACUCUGCUGAGAUGUACUUGUCAGACGUAUAAUAAAUAGACUGCAUUCUGAACGGGUGUUGCUGCUACCUGACCAAACUGUGAUACUGCUUCUGCGUUGCAUUAUGGUGUGUGUGUGUGUGUGUGUGUGUGUGUGUGUGUGUGUGUGUUCAUCUGAGACACAGUUUGCAAAUUCAGAAGAACAGAAACUCGGAAGACUCGGUGAGAUAAUGAGGAUGCAAAUGGUGAAAGGCUUUGAUUGAAUUAGUCAAGUGAGAGGCACAUGUGCUGAGCCGAGAUCCUACUUAAUGGAAUCUGAGGGUAUAGAGUACAGGAGAAACUGCGGGCAUCUUCGUCUGGUGUCUGAAAUGAUAUUGCAGCAUUGUACCUGUGAUACAGACUCUAGAUCUCAGAGCAACCCUGACUAUGUUCAUACUGAAGAACAUGCCUCAGUAUCCAUUCCCAUUCCUGAUGAUGUCCCAAGUUGAACAUUUCUUGAAGACAAUCACAGUUGCUAGAUCCAGUUUCGAUUUUUAUGUUACAUGAUCAGGUCAUAUUUCUAGACCUAGUGUAAAAUAAACAGCAACCUGGACAUGA